Molecule: ribosomal RNA, 437 nt
Rfam family: Bacterial small subunit ribosomal RNA
ACGGGAGGCAGCAGUGGGGAAUAUUGGGCAAUGGGCGAAAGCCCGACCCAGCAACGCCGCGUGAAGGAAGAAGGUCUUCGGAUUGUAAACUUCUUUUAUAAGGGACGAAGAAAGCGACGGUACCUCAUGAAUAAGCCACGGCUAACUACGUGCCAGCAGCCGCGGUAAUACGUAGGUGGCAAGCGUUAUCCGGAUUUACUGGGUGUAAAGGGCGCGUAGGCGGGGAUGCAAGUCAGAUGUGAAAUCUAUGGGCUCAACUCAUAAACUGCAUUUGAAACUGUAUCUCUUGAGUGCUGGAGAGGUAGAUGGAAUUCCUUGUGUAGCGGUGAAAUGCGUAGAUAUAAGGAAGAACACCAGUGGCGAAGGCGAUCUACUGGACAGUAACUGACGCUGAGGCGCGAGAGCGUGGGGAGCAAACAGGAUUAGAUACCCUGGUA